UGUAAGCGUAUACCAAAGUUGUUGCAGUUAAAACGCUCGUAGUCGGAAUUUGGCAGUUCCGGAAGUGUGCACGUCGUGUGCGCACUUUGCGGGGACUGCUUUUGUGGUCUUGCGUAGGAUGAGGCACUUUCAUUAGUGAACGUCCUCACGCAACCACUCUUUACUGUGAGAAAAUCAGAGUGCUCAAAGCAGGCAUUUGCCGUGAAUGUAUUAGCAUGGAAUAAUAGAAUAGGACUCGGUUCUAUUUUGUUGGUUUGUUGGGACUGAGUAAUGAUUAAGAGGGACAGUUGGGGGCAUUUGUAUUCCGGCGCUAGAGGUGAAAUUCUUAGAUUGCCGGAAGUCAAACUGCUGCGAAAGCGUCUGCCAAGGAUGUUUUCAUUGA
Molecule: ribosomal RNA, 382 nt
Filed under: uncultured eukaryote
Lineage: Eukaryota
Description: partial 18S ribosomal RNA
Rfam family: Eukaryotic small subunit ribosomal RNA
Source: RNAcentral